Molecule: microRNA, 20 nt
Filed under: Schistosoma japonicum
Lineage: Eukaryota; Metazoa; Platyhelminthes; Trematoda; Strigeidida; Schistosomatidae
Description: miRNA-3005
Source: RNAcentral
AAGGAACAACUGCUUGAAGC